GAAGUAGUAAUUUAUAAGAAUAUUUAAUUUGCACUUAAAAAGAACACUAGUCUACUUUA
Molecule: transfer RNA, 59 nt
Filed under: Pseudocrangonyx daejeonensis
Lineage: Eukaryota; Metazoa; Arthropoda; Malacostraca; Amphipoda; Pseudocrangonyctidae
Description: tRNA-Ala
Source: RNAcentral